RNAcentral lists this ribosomal RNA (950 nucleotides) under Psoroma cinnamomeum. RNAcentral's name for it is "eukaryotic LSU rRNA". It matches the Rfam family "Eukaryotic large subunit ribosomal RNA", at positions 1 to 962 of the family's 3401-position model. The record is from RNAcentral. Lineage: Eukaryota; Fungi; Ascomycota; Lecanoromycetes; Peltigerales; Pannariaceae.
GGUUGACCUCGGAUCAGGUAGGGAUACCCGCUGAACUUAAGCAUAUCAAUAAGCGGAGGAAAAGAAACCAACCGGGAUUGCCUCAGUAACGGCGAGUGAAGCGGCAACAGCUCAAAUUUGAAAUCUGGCCCUCGCGGGGUCCGAGUUGUAAUUUGUAGAGGGUGUUUCGGGUGCGGUGCCGGUCUAAGUUCCUUGGAACAGGACGUCAUAGAGGGUGAGAAUCCCGUCUGCGAGUCGGCCACCAACCCCGGGUGAAACCCCUUCGACGAGUCGAGUUGUUUGGGAAUGCAGCUCAAAAUGGGUGGUAAAUUUCAUCUAAAGCUAAAUACCGGCCAGAGACCGAUAGCGCACAAGUAGAGUGAUCGAAAGAUGAAAAGCACUUUGGAAAGAGAGUUAAAAAGUACGUGAAAUUGUUGAAAGGGAAGCGCUUGCGACCAGACCUGCCCUCGGGCGAUCAUCCGCCGCCAUUCGUGGCGGUGCACUCGCCCGGAUGCAGGCCAGCAUCGGUUCGGGCGGCGGGACAAAGGACUCGGGAACGUAGCUCUCUCCGGGGAGCCUUAUAGCCCGGGUCGCCAUGCCGCCCGCCUGGACCGAGGACCGCGCUUCGGCUAGGAUGCUGGCGUAAUGGUCGUAAGCGACCCGUCUUGAAACRCGGACCAAGGAGUCUACCAUCCAUGCGAGUGUUUGGGUGUCAAACCCAGGCGCGGAAUGAAAGUGAACGGAGGUGAGACCCCGCAAGGGCGCAUCAUCGACCGAUCCAGAUGUCUUCGGAUGGAUUUGAGUACGAGCAUGGCUGGUGGGACCCGAAAGAUGAUGAACUAUGCCUGAAUAGGGUGAAGCCAGAGGAAACUCUGGUGGAGGCUCGCAGCGGUUCUGACGUGCAAAUCGAUCGUCGAAUUUGGGUAUAGGGGCGAAAGACCAAUCGAAUCAUCUAGUAGCUGGUUUACGUC